GACGAACGCUGGCGGCGAGCUUAACACAUGCAAGUCGAACGGAAAGGCCCUGCUUUUGUGGGGUGCUCGAGUGGCGAACGGGUGAGUAACACGUGAGUAACCUGCCCUUGACUUUGGGAUAACUUCAGGAAACUGGGGCUAAUACCGGAUAGGAGCUCCUGCUGCAUGGUGGGGGUUGGAAAGUUUCGGCGGUUGGGGAUGGACUCGCGGCUUAUCAGCUUGUUGGUGGGGUAGUGGCUUACCAAGGCUUUGACGGGUAGCCGGCCUGAGAGGGUGACCGGCCACAUUGGGACUGAGAUACGGCCCAGACUCCUACGGGAGGCAGCAGUGGGGAAUAUUGCACAAUGGGCGGAAGCCUGAUGCAGCAACGCCGCGUGCGGGAUGACGGCCUUCGGGUUGUAAACCGCUUUCGCCUGUGACGAAGCGUGAGUGACGGUAAUGGGUAAAGAAGCACCGGCUAACUACGUGCCAGCAGCCGCGGUGAUACGUAGGGUGCGAGCGUUGUCCGGAUUUAUUGGGCGUAAAGGGCUCGUAGGUGGUUGAUCGCGUCGGAAGUGUAAUCUUGGGGCUUAACCCUGAGCGUGCUUUCGAUACGGGUUGACUUGAGGAAGGUAGGGGAGAAUGGAAUUCCUGGUGGAGCGGUGGAAUGCGCAGAUAUCAGGAGGAACACCAGUGGCGAAGGCGGUUCUCUGGGCCUUUCCUGACGCUGAGGAGCGAUAGCGUGGGGAGCGAACAGGCUUAGAUACCCUGGUAGUCCACGCUGUAAACGGUGGGUACUAGGUGUGGGGUCCAUUCCACGGGUUCCGUGCCGUAGCUAACGCUUUAAGUACCCCGCCUGGGGAGUACGGCCGCAAGGCUAAAACUCAAAGGAAUUGACGGGGCCCCGCACAAGCGGCGGAGCAUGCGGAUUAAUUCGAUGCAACGCGUAGAACCUUACCUGGGUUUGACAUGGAUCGGGAGUGCUCAGAGAUGGGUGUGCCUCUUUUGGGGUCGGUUCACAGGUGGUGCAUGGCUGUCGUCAGCUCGUGUCGUGAGAUGUUGGGUUAAGUCCCGCAACGAGCGCAACCCUUGUUCACUGUUGCCAGCACGUUAUGGUGGGGACUCAGUGGAGACCGCCGGGGUCAACUCGGAGGAAGGUGGGGAUGACGUCAAGUCAUCAUGCCCCUUAUGUCCAGGGCUUCACGCAUGCUACAAUGGCUGGUACAGAGAGUGGCGAGCCUGUGAGGGUGAGCGAAUCUCGGAAAGCCGGUCUCAGUUCGGAUUGGGGUCUGCAACUCGACCUCAUGAAGUCGGAGUCGCUAGUAAUCGCAGAUCAGCAACGCUGCGGUGAAUACGUUCCCGGGGCU
This 1346-nucleotide ribosomal RNA is filed under the name uncultured bacterium. RNAcentral describes it as "partial 16S ribosomal RNA". It matches the Rfam family "Bacterial small subunit ribosomal RNA", at positions 28 to 1381 of the family's 1533-position model. The record is from RNAcentral.